RNAcentral lists this ribosomal RNA (497 nucleotides) under uncultured bacterium. RNAcentral describes it as "partial 16S ribosomal RNA". It matches the Rfam family "Bacterial small subunit ribosomal RNA", at positions 28 to 507 of the family's 1533-position model. The record is from RNAcentral.
GAUGAACGCUGGCGGCGUGCCUAAUACAUGCAAGUCGAGCGAACAGACGAGGAGCUUGCUCCUCUGAUGUUAGCGGCGGACGGGUGAGUAACACGUGGAUAACCUACCUAUAAGACUGGGAUAACUUCGGGAAACCGGAGCUAAUACCGGAUAAUAUAUUGAACCGCAUGGUUCAAUAGUGAAAGACGGUUUUGCUGUCACUUAUAGAUGGAUCCGCGCCGCAUUAGCUAGUUGGUAAGGUAACGGCUUACCAAGGCGACGAUGCGUAGCCGACCUGAGAGGGUGAUCGGCCACACUGGAACUGAGACACGGUCCAGACUCCUACGGGAGGCAGCAGUAGGGAAUCUUCCGAAAUGGGCGAAAGCCUGACGGAGCAACGCCGCGUGAGUGAAGAAGGUCUUCGGAUCGUAAAACUCUGUUAUUAGGGAAGAACAAAUGUGUAAGUAACUAUGCACGUCUUGACGGUACCUAAUCAGAAAGCCACGGCUAACUACGUG